Long non-coding RNA from Adelges cooleyi (spruce gall adelgid), 1418 nucleotides. RefSeq lists it as uncharacterized. The transcript has 3 exons. The record is from RefSeq and is a predicted model, not a curated record. Lineage: Eukaryota; Metazoa; Arthropoda; Insecta; Hemiptera; Adelgidae.
CAGUUCUCCUUUCCUAUCAGUACCCACCCUUCAUUCCUUCCUUCCACCUAAUUAUAUUAUCUUCCUCUUUUCACCACAAACAUACCUUUCUCCAUAUUAUUCCUCCGGGAUUCAAUUACGCGAUUGUUAUGUUUAAAAUCAAGUCUUACAAGUGUUUUAUCAAUACAAAUUACAAUAGGUACUAUUAAACCUAUUUCUCGGUAACUUGUAGCCUCUUCCUCCGCAGCUACUUUGGGCUAGUGGCAUAAGAUUGUUCUACGCAUCUUCUGCACAAGUUAUUUUAAGAGAUUACCAGAGUGUUAACAGUCCACAAUAAUGUUUACACUAUAUUAAGCAAUAUCGAAACAAAAACGCAACUCUGCAGAAUCCAUAGACUUCCAGACAAACCUUUCGGCAAGGUAAUAUAAUAGGAAGUCAUAUUUAAACUUUAAUGGUACGUCGCCAAAUAAUACUUCCACAAUCCGACUAAACAGCUAUAACCCUACAUUACUGCCCGUCUAUUUUUACCUCUAACAAGCUGUUUUUGUGCCACAAGAGUUUGUGCGCGUAAGUCCAAGAAUAGUCGAGAUACACGUGGGUAUGGUGCCAAUUCACUUGCACGUUGUACGCGUACAUCAAAUUCGAUUUGGCUUCAUUGUCAACGCCCAAAUUGUUCAUGAACAGCUGUCUGGAUUUCAACGCAUCGCACCUCCGCCCAAAUGUCGACUGUGCGUUGUUGGUUUUCAACAUUUUCUCGGUGCCAAAGUAGUUUCUCAGUAUCGCUCCCUGUAACUCGUCCAACCCGGGUUUCCCACCUGGAGACGUCUGCAUAACGUGUACCGCGUGCCAGUCGCGGUACGUGUCAAACGUAUUGCCUUGGCGACAACGAGCCGAGUCCUUUUGUAGCUGCUCGAUGACAUAACUAUGGGUGCCGAUGAGAUUGUCGAUAGCCUGUGAUCUAGCCCGCUGGUCCUGCUGGUUCAUAAGUACUUUUUCGUGAUAGUUCGGCAUCGUGUGGAUGUACAAGUGCAAGAUCCACAACGAACCGAUUUUCACCUCGUCCGAAUCGUUGUCGUACAACGUACAUAUUAUCGUUUUGCUGUUGUAGCCAGUGUAAACCAUGCCCGCCGCAAUGCUAGUACAAAUGUUUUGGUCUUCCAACAUCAACUUAGUGAGUCGCAUGCAGAUGUAUCGCACACAAGAACGGGCGGCACUAAACUUGGACGAAUUAAGAAUAAUUAAAUACCUAAUCGUAUUGAACAAAUUAUUUCAACGUAAAUUGUAUUUAAAAAUGAUUCAUCAAUCACAUAUGUAUAUACGAUAUUCUAUUAGAAAACAAAUAAUAGACAAUAAAAAUAAAUUAUUAACAUGAUUACUGGAAACUAGAUGCGAUUAUAAUAAGACAAUACUAUUGAGACAUUUUUUUUUUAAUUUCUAUG